RNAcentral lists this ribosomal RNA (472 nucleotides) under uncultured bacterium. RNAcentral's name for it is "SSU rRNA". It matches the Rfam family "Bacterial small subunit ribosomal RNA", at positions 26 to 518 of the family's 1533-position model. The record is from RNAcentral.
AGAACGAACGCUGGCGGCAUGCCUAACACAUGCAAGUCGAACGCUCCUGGGGCUUCGGUCUCAGGGGAGUGGCGCACGGGUGAGUAGCGCGUGGGAACCUGCCCUGUUGUGGGGGAUAACCGAGGGAAACUUCGGCUAAUACCGCAUAAGCCGGUUGUCUUGAAAGAGAUGACCGGGAAAGAUUUAUCGCGACAGGAGGGGCCCGCGUCGGAUUAGCUAGUUGGUGGGGUAACGGCCCACCAAGGCAGUGAUCCGUAGCUGGUCUGAGAGGAUGAUCAGCCACACUGGGACUGAGACACGGCCCAGACUCCUACGGGAGGCAGCAGUGGGGAAUAUUGGACAAUGGGCGCAAGCCUGAUCCAGCCAUGCCGCGUGAGUGAUGAAGGCCCUAGGGUUGUAAAGCUCUUUUGUGCGGGAAGAUAAUGACGGUACCGCAAGAAUAAGCCCCGGCUAACUUCGUGCCAGCAGCCGC